AGAAGAAAGUGGAAUUGAUCUAGUGGUGGUCAGCCCCUCUUUCGUAGUAGGUCCUUUGCUCGCACCCCAACCAACCAGUACGCUGCAAAUGAUAUUGGCCAUUGUAAAAGGUCAACACUUGAGUAGCUAAUCUGUUAUAUAAUGACAUUAGAAUGCUGUGUUCUAUCUGAUUUUGUGUGAAAUGGUGGCUUACAUUAUCAGCUAUGUCCGCUAAUCUAUAAAUGACUGAGUUCAAUUAUUGAUGCCAUUGAUCAGGUCUGAUUAAAGAACACCCGAAUACAACAGUAGGGUUUGUGCAUAUAGAUGAUGUCGUUGCAGCACAUAUAUUAGCAAUGGAGGAAAGCAAAGCAUCAGGCAGACUGGUAUGUUCAAGCUCAGUAGCUCACUGGUCCGAGAUCAUUGAGAUGCUAAGGAACAAGUAUCCAGCCUACAACUACAUAAACAGGCAAGAGAAACAUUUUAUACUUUUCUGUCCUGUUUUUCCUCUUAUGGAACUGGCAUUUGUUAUUUGUUUUGACUUUACUCUCUGAAUCAACCAGAUUUUUUCUAUUGGUGCCGUAGUGUCUCUGAACUUGACCUUCUUCUUAUAUAGUCUUGAGUGUUUUGUUUUCCAUGUUUAGGUGUAGCAACACAAAAGGAGAUGAUAAUCCACACAGCAUGGACAGCAAUAAAAUCAUACAGCUUGGGCUCCCACCGCUGAAAUCCCUUGAUCAAAUGUUUGAGGACUGCAUCAGAAGCUUCCAAGAGAAGGGCUUCCUCUAAGAUCAACCAAAUCUUCUGAAACGCCCUCUCAAUUCAAAGAUCCUAUCCGCUAGGAGUACAUGUACUGAUUUACCGACUGUUCUUGAAUCAUAUUGUCCUGCUAAAACAUAUUUUAACCAUUCAAAUAUAUCAGUAUGCCAAAUAAUGCUGGCCUGCGAAGCCAGGCUCUUGAUCAAAAUAUUGUGCACGACUCAAACUUCAAUCACGGCAGUGCUUGUUAAAUUCCCAUGCUAAAGUAAUCUUCAUUCAAAUAAGUAAUAUCUUGACUGAAAUAAAAUCACCAGACAUUCCAAAAAUUCAAUUCGGUAGUAAUAAAUGCUCUGCUAUUAAACCAAUUUAAAGAGGCGAGUGCCAUACACGAACAGUACAGACGUAAGAAACAGCAUAGGCCUUCGAUUCUUGCAAUAUCCAAAUGUCCUCCAACUUUUGCUGAAUUAGCCUAAUAAAAAACCACGAUUAUCAACAAUUGGUAGGGAAAAAAAAAUAUAAUCUGAAUAUUAAAGUAGGAUAAAAAAAAAACUUCCAGAGGACUGAGCAAUCCUUAAUACUUGUCACAUUUUAAGAUUCUCUUGAAUGAAUUAUUGCAGCAUGGAGGGUGGUACAUAAGCAAUCCUUCAUUACUUUCUUGACCAAAACGGGGCUUUUGCAGUAUUGAAGCUCAUGGAAUGCAAACCUCAAAACAGGCAUUUCUCAAUCUUCAUACAAGAGAGCAAAAUGAGUUCAACAUUUGUAAAUUGCUACUUGGAGAGGAUCGAUUGCAGGUUAUUCUAGCAGGCCCAAAUGGUGUAAGGCCGUUAAGCGCCCCGACUUAUCAAGGGGAGCCCGAUGAAGAGUCUCAAUUGAUGAAAAUUAGUGCUAAUUAAUUAGUUAGUGUACUAAUACCCCCGUCAGCAAUCUGCAGAAACACACACACACUCUCUCUACUUAAAGGGGGAUCCACGACCUAAUCCAAAAGGCAUGCUGACUUUCAGGUUACACCAAGGACCUUAAGUAGAACACACGCACCGAAGACCUUAAUUAGUUGGUGUACUAAUACCCAAAAACAAGAUAUUAUUCACCCUUUCCCAUCCUCAACUGCUAGACCCAAGAUUGGACCUCUACACCUAACAACGGGAAGAACUUUAAGAACUCUCUCCUGACCACCAAAAUAACCCUAGUGAUUUUAUUAAAAUACAAGUUUAAUUACUCCUAAAGUAUAUAUAAAUCUCUCAGACUUAAACGGUAGUAGACUUCCUCGUAUAGCUUUUUAUAUGCUAAUAUUUAGGACAUGAUACUAUUUUUUUUUUUUUCUUUUCUAAGUUGUUGUUUUGUUAGGAGGAAGGGGAUGACUUAGAUGAUUUGGAGGGAGGAAUUAUAAGUGUAAGGUCUUGGAUUUAAGACCUUUCACUUAAACUAAAAAAAAAAAAAAGAGUAGGGAUUUACAAUUUUCUCUUUGAGUUUGAGGAAGCCGGGGGGGUUUCGGCUUUUGACCAUCUCCAUCACUGGCUAACAACUAGACGCAGAUGGACGCAUCUUAUCACAGAAUCAUAUUAGCGACUCAAUUAAGUGAAACUCAAAACUGAGAGAAUUCAUAUAUAU
Molecule: long non-coding RNA, 2340 nt
Filed under: Coffea arabica (coffee)
Lineage: Eukaryota; Viridiplantae; Streptophyta; Magnoliopsida; Gentianales; Rubiaceae
Description: long non-coding RNA (CARA_LNC007585)
Source: RNAcentral